GGUGUUAACUAGGCUGAAAUGCCAGCAGAAAAAGAGACCUGGAGUUGUCAAACCAUGUCAAACACACAGGCAAACUACGAGAAAUAUUCAACGAAGACCGUCGAGAUUGCCUACGGAUUUGAUUCAAGAAAUCCAAGUUCCAGCAGGUUCUUGCAAGUACUCCAAACUUUGCCACUGCUUAUCAAUACGUUUGUGAUGAGUGGCGUGUGUUGCCAGAGAAAGAAAAGGAAAACUACACCAGAAUGGCUCUAGCUGCUGAACACCUGCUUGACUGAUGUGGUUUAGGGAAAUUUUCAGUGAUGUAGUCAAGAACUUUUUGAGAAGCAAGGUCUCCACCAAAUACUUAACUAGUUAGGAGGGAACAAAGCUGAAGUACAUUGGCAUUUGAUGGUACAUGCAUAUAAGUAAGAUUACAAAGCAACAUAAUGACUUCAGACCAUCACUGUUUGAUUAAAGUUAACUUUUUAGGACAAAAGUACUUGCAAAGUACUCAGCCGAGUAUGUGACGAUAUUGAUGUACAUUUUGCUAAGUGUUCCAUAUGUAUUUUUUUUCCAUUUUUCAACCAUAAAACUUGUUGAACCUAUGAAAAAAGAAACUAAAUCAUUGCAUGAUGAAACGAACACUGAAGAAACAGCCAUGUCAAAAUAUGAAGGGCAUUUUAAAGAUACGUAUUCGGGAUCUCCCGAUGAAAAACUGAAUGCAUUUUUCAGUAGAUGUGAGUUGAAUGCCAAAGUAUGUGACUUCGCCUCUGAUAAACUACGCUUGACACAAAGUCUUAGACUUAAAGGUAAUGCAGCGAUGUGGUUGUCUACCCUUGAUGACUGUACGAAAAGCUCGUAGGAAAGUCUUAACGCUGCCUUGAUUGACAAUUUCAGGGUAAAAACCAGAAUUGGGUAAACAAAACCAAAUUAGCCUCCCGUGUUCACGAAGAAUCUGAAUCACUGGACAUUAAUUUUUCAGAUAUAUCUUCUUUGAGUCACACGUUGCAAAAAUUGGAUCGAGAGAGAUUAACUCAUUUAAUUCAUUAGGGGCUUACAACCACGAGUUAAAGCUUUCGUUAUCUCAAAAAAACACCUGAAUCUUUGAACUGUGCACUUCAUUAUGUAGGUUUUGCACAAAUUGUGUCAGAGUCACCAGCCCCGCCACCAACCAUGGUGCAUUCUACACAAGUUUUGCAAUCAUCUGUUGAGCCUAAUUCCCAAUCUAACCAGGCUAAUACAAUUCAGUAGAUAGUUAACGACGUCGCUCAAAUAAAGACGACAGUUAACGAAAUACUGAACCAAGGCACAAAGACCAAAACUCUGCAAGGCCAAGCUGGACCUCAUAGGCAAACCAAUACUCCCAACAAAGUAGAUUGAUUUGUUAUCAAUGUGGUAAACCAGGUCACAGACAAUUUGAGUGUUACUCUAAAUUUCACAUUCAAGGGUAUCCUUUAAACUAAGAGCCCUGUCUACUUGUGAUAUAAACAAAAGAUCUGGAAUUAUAGGCGAAGGGGUUUUAUUGAUCAUGGUAUAGAUGUGACAAUGCAAGGCUGUUGUAUCGAUGUACGAUUAGGGUCUAAAUCACGAUCUUGUCUAUUGGACUCUGCAAAUAUUAAUGUCAUUAGUGAGAAAUGUUUUCGACAAUCGACUGAAUGUAAUGCCGUUGAAAUUUGAGAUUGUGAAAUUUCCCAAGCAGUAAUUGCUGGUACUUGCCUCAACAUUCUAGGAAUUGCAGAGAUUGCUUUGACUAUAGUUGU
Acanthaster planci (crown-of-thorns starfish) is the source of this 1739-nucleotide long non-coding RNA. RefSeq lists it as uncharacterized. Lineage: Eukaryota; Metazoa; Echinodermata; Asteroidea; Valvatida; Acanthasteridae. The record is from RefSeq and is a predicted model, not a curated record.